CAGCCGGAGCUAGGUUAGGAGAGUGGCGCGGGAGCGCGCUGGCCUCUUCUCUAUUUUCUCAACUUAACGCUUCAUUUCUCUCUCCUCUCUCUUCUGACCCUCUCCCCUGUUUCCCGACCCGACGACAAUUUCUCCGACGACGGCCACGCUCUCUCUCCGCCGACGGCAACGCUCCCUCCAGACGACGGCCUCUUCCGCUCCCUAUGGCAUUCUCUCCGCUCACUCUCGUGACCUCUGUCUGCCUGAAUUCCGCUCUCUCCCGACGACCGAUUGGGCUCGGCUUUCUCCGUCCCUCCCGACUGGCGACCGAGAAGCCAUCGCUCUACUCUCUCGGCUAAUCGUCCAUCGAUGACUCGCUUCCAUGCUCCGUUCAAAGCCGUCUCUCCCGAAAAGCCCUAGAUCUGCGACGACAAGCCCCGCUUUUCAGGGAUGAUUCUUGCAGAAUGGAGAAGCAGUCGCUUUGCCCUCUGGUCUAAUCUUCAAUCGCUUCCACACUCGGCUCGGUUCAAAGCCGUCCCUCCCGGGAAGCCCUAAAUCAGUGGCACACCACAAUCCGACCAGGCCUCAUCAUUUCGCUUUGGGUUGUCUUCACUGGUCUCUGGUCUUGUUUAAAAUAGAGUCAAAUUCUUGUUUAAUCGGAACUGGGGGAUGGGGAAUGGGUUAGAAGCAUUAGUUGGCCUCUCUAUUAUGCAUAAUGCAAUCUUUUGAUCAGAUUUAAUAGUGCGGAUGGAGAGUUCCAGAUAGCAAAUGCGUGAACCUAGUCAUCCUUAAUCGCUUUUGAUUAGUUUACCGGGAUGGGUCGUUACGCCUGAAAUUAAGAAUUAUUUGUACUCUGUCUGUUUCAUUCUUGUGUUUUCUAGUUGGGUUCACGGUGGUUUUUUUUAUUUCUUUUGGUCAAUGGGAAAGACUAAUUUCUUUUGGCCGGAAGUUUUCUGUUGCGUAAUGAUGUGAUUUCAGUCUACCUUGGUUACUGCUCAUUUCCCAGCUUAUGUGGGACGUUGACUCUGGAUUAUUAAAAGAAAGAAAAGGUGCCGUUACUUGUUAUCUCGUCCCUGUUAGCUCAUGCUGCUUGCUUUAAAGAAAAUUAGGAGGAAUUUGCCGGUUGACAAUGCUAAUGAGAGGCUGAGUGACGGUGGCAUCCAUGGAUUAAGAUGCCUUAGAAUUAUCUGGUGGUGAUGAGUCUGCAGCAGCAUCUGAUAAAGCUCAUCGCAUAAAUGGCGAGGGAUUACAAUUUGAACGUCGACAACUUUGUAGUUCUUUCAUUCUGUUCUAUUGAUGUUAGCUAACUACCUGAUUGCUACUUUCCAAGAAUUGAAUUUGAUAAGUCUCAUUAACAAAUGUGGAGUAUUGCGAGUUGUGGCUGUGCAGAAACUCAUGUUACUGAAAAAGUGAUUCUUCAAAAUUAUAAUGAAUGCUUGAGAGAUCACAUGGGAAUUAGCUGUCGCAUUCUUGAGUGUUCAAUAUAUCAACCUAACCUACUAUGUGGUAAAUGAUGUGAGAUUUACCGAAAAGGAUGCAAUGAUCAAUGAGAUAGGUUUGAUGGUAGUACCAAACUAGUUCAGUGGCUUUUGGAGCAAAAUCAUCCUCUAAACACUUAGGUUGAAUGAAUAAUCCCUUGACAAUGUUAAAACUGAUCUUUCAAUCAUUUUGGAAUGGUCUAAAUGGUGUCUGGUGAUGCUUGUUGCUAGCAAAAUGUGAUUGAAGGAGCAAUUCAUUGAGUUGGAGCUCUGAAUUUUCUUUGGCUCAUGCGGUACAAUACGGAUGUAAUAAUGAGAAACUAGGACUAAUGUACUAGUGUUUGUUGCAGCUGAUGCUUAUUGCAGCAUUUGUCGCAGCUGCAACUUUUGUGCAGAUCUUAUGGCAUAAGCUAAGGUGCGCACUAACUAUUUUCUUCUUCUCCUUUAGGAAACAGAACCCCAAUGCAUCGGUCUCAAAAUGUGCAAAUACACAUAAGUUGCUUUGCUUGAGGUCACGAUCGCAUCAUUAGGAUGACACAAUGGCUCUCUGGCAAUAGCCGAACUCUGCAACUCAAAUGCGUCAGUCGUGGCAAGCGGCGACCUGCUUGUGCUGCAUCCAAUAUUCCGGAUAUAUGGCCAGAGCAAAAUGUUCUUGGGUCCUGUUGUCACUCUCAAUGGAUUCGAUGACCACAUCCUGAUUCGAGGACAACAUCCUGGUUCCGGAGCUGCUCGAAACUAGAGACAAAGGGAGAGCGUUGGUUGUCAAUGGCGGAGGAAGCUUGAGAUGCACUCUGGUGAGUGGGGACACGAGACAGUUGGCUUAGAACAUGGGAUGGGCUGGGAUUGUUAUGAAUGGCCGCAUUAGAGACGUGGACAAGAUCAAUGAGUGUGCGAUCGACUUUAGGGCCUUGGCUUCGCAUCCCCUGAAAUCGAGCAAGAAAGGGGUCGGGGAAAAGCAUGUCCCUCUCUAGAUUGCCGCGCAUUGAUUUACAACGGUGAUGGUUGUAUGCAGAUGGCGAUGGGAUUGUUGUCUCCAACUGAACCGUCUGUAUGAAUCUUUAAGAGAGCUUUUUUCUGGCGCAACUCAACAAGAAAUUGUACUUUGCCAAUUUGCAAUUUGUUUCCUUCUCAUUGAUUUCGCAUUUGGUAGUGGUCAAAGCCAAUGGGCAAGAAAUUCCAAGCUUCUUGUUAUAUGCUGAAUGUCGUAAAAUACUCCCAAUGAGAGCUGGAAUAAAACGAA
This is a long non-coding RNA of Eucalyptus grandis, 2697 nucleotides long. RefSeq lists it as uncharacterized. The record is from RefSeq and is a predicted model, not a curated record. NCBI's taxonomy places the organism in Eukaryota, Viridiplantae, Streptophyta, Magnoliopsida, Myrtales, Myrtaceae. The transcript is spliced from 3 exons.